UACAUUUUUCAGGGUCAAAUAACUGCUAGCAAUCUCCUGCCAAAAAUUAAUGAAGCUGCUCAAAAGGAUUCUGUGAUACUACAGGCUGAAGAAAAAGAGGCAAAGCAGAAGUUUACUGAUGAAAAUGCCUUAGAUGAAGAAGAAUUUGAUAUAUUAAUGAUGGAGAACCCAGAAUUAUUAAGUCACCCUGCUACACCAACAUCAAGGAAGAAUUCUGUGAAAAAAGUUGAAGACGAUGAUACCAUAUCCGGUUCAGAUGAUGACAGUACAACUGUGAAAACACGUCCAUUGAGAGUUGCUAAGAGUAAAACUAAGGUCACAGGAGUAAGAGAAAGAAGAAAGAAGAUUUUAAAGUAGAAAGAAAAAUAAUCCAGUUUUCAGUUUUAAACCAAGAUUUCAUUUUUGUUAUUACAUUCAAUUGUAAUUAUGACAUCUUGGAAAGUGUUUACAUUUGUGAUAAAUAGGUAUAUAUUUUUUUUCCUUGGAGUCGUUUUAUAAGGAUUACGUUUCUUAUAUGGAGAGUCCUUAGUUUCAUAACAUUAUGAAGGUCCACUUGAAUGCUAUACACUAAUUUUGUACCUUGUCUUCUCAUAAAAUUUGUAAUCUUAAUUGUAUAUAUAUAUGUGUGUGUGUGUGGUGACUGAUAUAAGAUAUUUGUGUGUGCAUACCGAACUUGAGCUUUCUUACAAAAUAUAUAUUUAUUAUGACAUACUUUGUAUUAUAAAACUUUUGAAUACUCUUAAAUUUAUUUAAUGUAUCAAAGUUAACAUUGUAGUUAUUCAUCCACGUAAUGUGACAAACAUAUCACUUUGUCUAAUACUUUAAGUUCGGGAAGGAAUGUUUUUAUAAUAAAUAUUCAGUUUUACGACCGCCGCUUAUUUUCAGUUCUGGUUGCAUAAUGAGAAUGCUGAAGUAUUAUGAUAUGCGAAUAAAUUACUCUUUUAUUUUAUAGCCCCCUUUUAAAUGAUAAAGAGUAUAUAUAGAAAUAUUUUCAAGUUCAAUUGUGGACUGACUUACUCCCUAAUGUGCUUCAUAAAUUGUAGACUUUUUCAGCACAUAAAACUAGUCUUUUUAUAGUUUCAGGGUGUGGUUUUAAAUUUUUAAGAAAUCUGUCUUUAACAGCAAUUUUCUAAAACAUUGUAAAAUAUAGAGAUCUCAUUCGUGUUAGGAUUUUCUCAUUAGAUAGUGAAGUAAAUUUUAAAUGCAGGUUUGUGUGUGUGUAUUUUAGUUUAUUACUCUUUUAAUAGAAGACAUGUUCUGUUUUUAAUUUUUGCUAUAUGUGAUGUGAAAAAGAUCUCAUAUUUUUAGAUUAAAAAAAUAAUAUUUAGAAAAUGUUUAAAAAAAUAAUGUAAGUUUUGUGAGAGAUGUUAUUUAAUUUUGUGUUGAAUUAAACUCCAUGAAACCUAAACCGAUUUUUGUAAGUUCCUAUCCACCUCAGUUUCAUAAGUAUUUGAAAUAAAUUUUUGGAAAAUGUCAAA
Long non-coding RNA from Stegodyphus dumicola, 1478 nucleotides. NCBI's taxonomy places the organism in Eukaryota, Metazoa, Arthropoda, Arachnida, Araneae, Eresidae. The record is from RefSeq and is a predicted model, not a curated record.